Molecule: unclassified non-coding RNA, 249 nt
Filed under: uncultured fungus
Lineage: Eukaryota; Fungi
Description: sequence contains ITS2
Source: RNAcentral
AACGCACAUUGCGCCCCUUGGUAUUCCAUGGGGCAUGCCUGUUCGAGCGUCAUUUGUACCUUCAAGCCUUGCUUGGUGUUGGGUGUUUGUCUCGCCUCUGCGUGUAGACUCGCCUCAAAACAAUUGGCAGCCGGCGUAUUGAUUUCGGAGCGCAGUACAUCUCGCGCUUUGCAUUCAGAACGACGACAUCCAAAAGUACAUUUUUACACUCUUGACCUCGGAUCAGGUAGGGAUACCCGCUGAACUUAA